RNAcentral lists this long non-coding RNA (2067 nucleotides) under Gossypium barbadense (sea-island cotton). RNAcentral describes it as "long non-coding RNA (GBAR_LNC021409)". The record is from RNAcentral. Lineage: Eukaryota; Viridiplantae; Streptophyta; Magnoliopsida; Malvales; Malvaceae.
UUAAGAUGGUUUUUCAUAUUUUUACUGCAAGUAAGUUCAAUUCUUGAUUAUUUCUUAAAAUUUUUGCGUUUUUGUGACUUUUACAACUAGACCCACUUGUUGAAUUCAUUAAUUUUUAAUUCUAUGAAAGAAGUUGAAAGUUGCUAUGAAUAUGUGCUGGAAGUAUAUGAUGAUUUAGCAUUGAAUUAGAGCUUUAAAUUGUUUAUAUGCUGAUUUUAUUGAAAGAAUUGAACAGAAAGUGAAUGUUUGGGACCUAAUAGUAAAAGAGUUUGAAGUUAGGGUUUUAUGAGAAAAUUAUGAAUUUCAAUAGUUAUGAAUAACUUAUAAUGUCCAGGUAAAGUACUAAUUGAGAAAAAUUAGCUUAAUUGAGGGGUUAAUUGAGCAAUGACUGAAUUGUAUGAACUGUGAAAUUUGGGGCAAAAUGGAAAUCAACAUUUUGCACUAAAACAGUUUUGGAAAGCAGCAGUAGUUUAACUUUGAAAAAUCAUCAAAAAUUGUGGGAAUCAAAUUAGAGAAUGGAUAAAAUAUUAAAUUAAAUCUUAUUGAGUCUAGUUUCUCAUAGAAGAAACGGUGUAAGUGAUAGAAUAGUAAAUUAUGAGAUAUAAUAAAUUUUGUGAGACAAGUUUAGAAUGAUUUUGGGUUCCUCUGUUCUGACUUUGGAAAAUCACUAAAAAUUGUACAAAAAUAAUUAUGGGCUAAACUUUAUAUGUUUAGAAUUCUGAAUGAGUCUAUUUCAAAAGAAACACACGAGAACAUUAUCUGUAUUCUGUACAAUGAGAUACUUAAUUUUUAGUGAAGAGGGGUCAGAACUGUCGAGUAGUGAAACAGGAGAAACUUUAAAGAAUAAACUGUACUUAUUGGAUAAGCUAAAAAUUAUGAAAAUUUUAUGGUAAGAAUAUAUGUGAGUCUAGUUUUGGGUAAAAUUAACGGAUCUUAAUUUGGAGCUCUGUAGCUCGAGAUAUAAAUAAAUUAGUGACUUUGACUCAGACAGACAGCUUGAAUUGACAUACAGGAAAAUAGUGAAAGAAUGGAUAAUGUUGUUUAAAUGUGUUAUACACAUUAAGGAUGUGGAAUGGAGAGGAGGAGGAAAACUGGAAAAAUAUAUGAAUGAUUCAUGUAUAAUUGGUCAUAUGCUCGAUUAUAAUUAAUAAAUGAUGAAAUAGAAAUGAUGUUUAUAUUUGUGCAUUAUUGGUCAUGGUUUAAGUUCAUGUGGGUAAGUAAAGUUUCAUAGUAUGUGUGUAUGGUAUAUUGGGUAUAUGAUUUGGCAUGAAGUAAUGUCAUGAAUGGUUUAUGAAUUAACACAUGUUGGUAAGUUACGUGUAAAUAAUAGUUAUAUUUUUAUAAAUUGUGAAUUAUAUUUGAUAUGUGAAUUAAUAUUGAAUGUGGAAGGAAAAUUAUUCAUGAAUUAUUCAAGUGAUAAAGUGUUUAAAAUAAAGUGUUAAGUGUAAAUUUCCGGUUGAACUUAGGAAUAGAAGUGGAUACAAGUGACAUGUCACUAGAGACUAGUGUUACAGUGAGUCCCAGGUGCUAGGUGAUCUAGUAUGUGUUGCAGACACCUGACAGCUUGUGUGAGCAGGCCCGUGGACAUUUCCAGUGUUAUUGAUCAGUGGUAGCUUCGGCUACAUUUCAGUGGUAGCUACGGCUACAUAUCAGUGGUAGCUUCGGCUACAUAUCAGUGUGGCACUUAUGUGCUAAUUCUCUACUUAUCCGUGUAUAUUCCGAAUGUUCAACAAGAUUAAUAAUGAGUUAAAGUGAAUAUGAAAUGUGGUGUACAUGCUUAGGCUUUGGUCAAGUUGUAGCUCAAUUAUGCCACGUUAAACUUAUAAGUUAUGCAUUGAAUUGAUAUGUUUAUGUUUUGUGUAAUAUGCAUAGGAACGGGUGUGGAAAGGUAAUGAAAUAGUAAAUUCAUACUUGAAGGGUAAAAUGACGAAAAAGGAGAUGAUGAAUUGAAUUGAUGUUGUUAUUUAAGCUAGAGUGAUAUUUUUAUUGCAAAAUUGAGAAUUUCAUAAAUGUGUUAAUGAAUGAUAUAACCGAUAUACGUUAAGUUAAAUGGUAAAUACGUAUUAG